RNAcentral lists this ribosomal RNA (274 nucleotides) under uncultured Syntrophaceae bacterium. RNAcentral describes it as "partial 16S ribosomal RNA". It matches the Rfam family "Bacterial small subunit ribosomal RNA", at positions 1107 to 1382 of the family's 1533-position model. Lineage: Bacteria; Pseudomonadati; Thermodesulfobacteriota; Syntrophia; Syntrophales; Syntrophaceae. The record is from RNAcentral.
GUCUUUAAUUGCCAUCAUUUAGUUGGGCACUUUAAAGAGACUGCCGGUGUUAAGCCGGAGGAAGGUGGGGAUGACGUCAAGUCCUCAUGGCCUUUAUGCCCAGGGCUACACACGUGCUACAAUGGGCGGUACAAAGAGAAGCAACCUCGCGAGGGUGAGCAAAUCUCAAAAAGCCGUUCUCAGUUCGGAUUGAAGUCUGCAACUCGACUUCAUGAAGUCGGAAUCGCUAGUAAUCGCGGAUCAGCAUGCCGCGGUGAAUACGUUCCCGGGCCUU